UUCUCUUCACUAGAAUCAACACUAACACAAAAGAAACAAGAAAACUAAGAAGAAGAGAUAGCAUCAAGCUUAUCCCGACUUAAUACUAUUGCAGUCUGGCAUUUUCUUCCACUCUUCCAUCUUCUUUAUACUACCCCGAGACAUCAACUCCUAUACUAUGGAUGAUAACUACUUUUCUUAACUAUUCAUCUAUUCUACCUACUGAACCACCUUUUUAGUAGUUAUCUAUCCCUAUUUAUACUAGACACUAGAUAUCUUCAUUCUGAAAAUAACUACUUAUUUUACAUAGCCCCACUCCAAACUGUACAACAUCCCUGUAAAUACAGUAUUGAUAAAUAAAAACCAAUCCCCCCUUUUUAUUUUAACUGGAUUGUUUGAUCUCUUCAAUUUCUGGUGCUGACCCCAUUUGGUCUUAUUCUAAUACUAUAUCUUCUUCCUCCGACUCGUCCUGAAUCUCUACCCUUAAUUGAAUUGUUAAAACUUCAUUGUACGCUCCCAAUUCUUGAACCUGAGCUUCCAAUUGGAGUAUUCUAUCAUCUUUUGCUUCCAAUUAUUGCUCUUGUUGUUGCAAUUUCUCCUCCAAUUUUCUAAUUCUUACUCCCAUUGAGGCAGAUGUCUGUGACCAACCAAUACUGACCAAAUCACUUUCCAAUUUCUUUACUGUUUCUUUCAAAACAAUAAUUUCUGCCUGUAGCUCAUCCAUUUUGUUUCAAUAUUGGUCACCCAAUUGUUUCUUUUCAAGCUCCAAUGCCUCCUUCUUCUCUCGUUCCAUCUUCAACUGAGCGUUCAUCUUCUCCUGUUCUAAUCUAUAUGAUUUGCAAGUUCGUAGUAAUUCUUGCCUUUGAUUUUCUAGGAUAUGUUGAAUCCUCUGUUUCUCCUUUGACCAAUUUUCUACUCUCUCAUCCAAUUCAUGCUUCACUUGAAUCUUGGAUUCCAAUUCUACCUUGAUGACUUGUUCUUAUUCCCUGAUUUUACAAUUUUACUCUAAUAUUAUUUUCUUGAUCGCUUCCACUUGCCUCUUUAAGCUACCCUCAUCUUUGA
Molecule: long non-coding RNA, 1041 nt
Filed under: Physcomitrium patens
Lineage: Eukaryota; Viridiplantae; Streptophyta; Bryopsida; Funariales; Funariaceae
Description: long non-coding RNA (PPAT_LNC012911)
Source: RNAcentral